This is a long non-coding RNA of Pangasianodon hypophthalmus (striped catfish), 662 nucleotides long. RefSeq lists it as uncharacterized. NCBI's taxonomy places the organism in Eukaryota, Metazoa, Chordata, Actinopteri, Siluriformes, Pangasiidae. The record is from RefSeq and is a predicted model, not a curated record. The transcript has 3 exons.
UGGUGGCUUCCCUGUUUCUGCCUGAGGGUCAGGGUUCAAAGGUCAUGGUUAGGGUGAUUAGUCACCUCACAUGGCCUGGAGCGGUGGAGAAGCCAGGGGCCAGCACUGCGUCUCUUUCCCAGCGAGAGUGAGCCGAGCCCGGGGCCAGUACAAGCGUGAGACCGGGGGGGCGUCCUGCAGGCCGGUGAUGAAUGGAGGGUUCGAGGAGGAAAUGUCUGUCCACUCAUAGGGGAAAUAAGGUGUUGACCAGCCGUCAGCCGAAACCUGGGCUGUGUGUUUGUGUGUCUGAUGAACGUAGAGACACCACAGAGUCUGCAGUGCAACCCGGUGCUGCUGGGUAAACGCUGUGUAUCAGACACACUGCAGUUCCACAGGAAAAUAAGAAUUUACUUCCAUUCUCUCUGCUGUGCACUUUACUGGAGUCAUCUCGUGGUGAUGAUGUCAUCGUUCUGAUCGAUGGUUCCUGACAUCUGACGCUGCUCUGUCUGCCAGGGCGUGGCCUCCUGCUGCCGAGGCCUCUGGGGCCAGGUGUGACUUGACCUUUGACCUCACCUGCAUCAAGGAGCAUGCGCACAGUGCGGAGGUCAUCAGCGAGUACAGCGUAAUGAAGCGAUGUGCAACCACGGAAACUGGCCCGAGUGCUGAGACGAUUACUGAACUCA